Molecule: ribosomal RNA, 1223 nt
Filed under: Amnimonas aquatica
Lineage: Bacteria; Pseudomonadati; Pseudomonadota; Gammaproteobacteria; Moraxellales; Moraxellaceae
Description: bacterial SSU rRNA
Rfam family: Bacterial small subunit ribosomal RNA
Source: RNAcentral
CUGAGACACGGUCCAGACUCCUACGGGAGGCAGCAGUGGGGAAUAUUGGACAAUGGGCGAAAGCCUGAUCCAGCCAUGCCGCGUGUGUGAAGAAGGCCUUCGGGUUGUAAAGCACUUUAAGUGGGGAGGAAUGGCUCUUAGUUAAUAACCUUGAGCAGUGACGUUACCCACAGAAUAAGCACCGGCUAACUCUGUGCCAGCAGCCGCGGUAAUACAGAGGGUGCAAGCGUUAAUCGGAAUUACUGGGCGUAAAGCGCGCGUAGGCGGUUGUAUAAGUUGGAGGUGAAAUCCCCGGGCUCAACCUGGGAAUUGCCUUCAAAACUGUACGGCUAGAGUGUGGGAGAGGAAGGUAGAAUUCCAGGUGUAGCGGUGAAAUGCGUAGAUAUCUGGAGGAAUACCGAUGGCGAAGGCAGCCUUCUGGCCUAACACUGACGCUGAGGUGCGAAAGCAUGGGGAGCAAACAGGAUUAGAUACCCUGGUAGUCCAUGCCGUAAACGAUGUCUACUAGCCGUUGGGGGACUUGAUCCUUUAGUGGCGCAGCUAACGCAUUAAGUAGACCGCCUGGGGAGUACGGUCGCAAGACUAAAACUCAAAUGAAUUGACGGGGGCCCGCACAAGCGGUGGAGCAUGUGGUUUAAUUCGAUGCAACGCGAAGAACCUUACCUGGCCUUGACAUGUCCGGAACCCUGCAGAGACGCGGGGGUGCCUUCGGGAAUCGGAACACAGGUGCUGCAUGGCUGUCGUCAGCUCGUGUCGUGAGAUGUUGGGUUAAGUCCCGCAACGAGCGCAACCCUUGUCCUUAGUUGCCAGCACGUAAUGGUGGGAACUCUAGGGAGACUGCCGGUGACAAACCGGAGGAAGGCGGGGACGACGUCAAGUCAUCAUGGCCCUUACGGCCAGGGCUACACACGUGCUACAAUGGUCGGUACAAAGGGUUGCUAGCCCGCGAGGGUACGCUAAUCUCAAAAAGCCGAUCGUAGUCCGGAUUGGAGUCUGCAACUCGACUCCAUGAAGUCGGAAUCGCUAGUAAUCGCGGAUCAGAAUGCCGCGGUGAAUACGUUCCCGGGCCUUGUACACACCGCCCGUCACACCAUGGGAGUUUACUGCACCAGAAGUAGGUAGCUUAACCGCAAGGAGGGCGCUUACCACGGUGUGGUCAAUGACUGGGGUGAAGUCGUAACAAGGUAGCCGUAGGGGAACCUGCGGCUGGAUCACCUCCUUAA